Molecule: ribosomal RNA, 235 nt
Filed under: uncultured bacterium
Lineage: Bacteria
Description: partial 16S ribosomal RNA
Rfam family: Bacterial small subunit ribosomal RNA
Source: RNAcentral
GAUCAUGGCUCAGGAUGAACGCUAGCUACAGGCUUAACACAUGCAAGUCGAGGGGCAGCAUCAUCAAAGCUUGCUUUGAUGGAUGGCGACCGGCGCACGGGUGAGUAACACGUAUCCAACCUGCCGACAACACUGGGAUAGCCUUUCGAAAGAAAGAUUAAUACCGGAUGGCAUAGUUUUCCCGCAUGGGAUAAUUAUUAAAGAAUUUCGGUUGUCGAUGGGGAUGCGUUCCUAG